Small nuclear RNA from Sorex araneus (European shrew), 138 nucleotides. The record is from Ensembl. NCBI's taxonomy places the organism in Eukaryota, Metazoa, Chordata, Mammalia, Eulipotyphla, Soricidae.
AAAAAGGGGGGGCUUCUGCUGUGAGUGACACAUGUAUGACAGAUCACUUGCUCUAUGUGCAAAAUCAACAUCAAGAAAUUUCAGAAGCAUAAUUUUUUGGCAGUAGGGCAGUUGCUGACCAUUGUUUCUGGCGUUCCC